This 292-nucleotide ribosomal RNA is filed under the name uncultured bacterium. RNAcentral describes it as "partial 16S ribosomal RNA". The record is from RNAcentral. RNAcentral also lists the same sequence under 1 other name.
GGACUACUCGGGUUUCUAAUCCUGUUUGCUCCCCUAGCUUUCGUGCCUCAGUGUCAGAAGUUGUCCAGGGACUCGCCUUCGCCACUGGUGUUCCUCUCGAUAUCUACGCAUUUCACUGCUACACCGAGAAUUCCAGUCCCCCCUCCAACUCUCAAGCCAAGCAGUUUCCAAUGCAGUUUCCGAGUUAAGCUCGGAGAUUUCACAUCAGACUUGCCCGACCACCUACGCACCCUUUACGCCCAGUAAAUCCGAACAACGCUUGGGACCUCUGUAUUACCGCGGCUGCUGGCAC